RNAcentral lists this ribosomal RNA (758 nucleotides) under uncultured bacterium. Its description in RNAcentral is "bacterial SSU rRNA". It matches the Rfam family "Bacterial small subunit ribosomal RNA", at positions 33 to 773 of the family's 1533-position model. The record is from RNAcentral.
ACGCUGGCGGCGUGCCUAAUACAUGCAAGUCGAACGCACAGCGAAAGGUGCUUGCACCUUUCAAGUGAGUGGCGAACGGGUGAGUAACACGUGGACAACCUGCCUCAAGGCUGGGGAUAACAUUUGGAAACAGAUGCUAAUACCGAAUAAAACUUAGUGUCGCAUGACACAAAGUUAAAAGGCGCUUCGGCGUCACCUAGAGAUGGAUCCGCGGUGCAUUAGUUAGUUGGUGGGGUAAAGGCCUACCAAGACAAUGAUGCAUAGCCGAGUUGAGAGACUGAUCGGCCACAUUGUGACUGAGACACGGCCCAAACUCCUACGGGAGGCUGCAGUAGGGAAUCUUCCACAAUGGGCGAAAGCCUGAUGGAGCAACGCCGCGUGUGUGAUGAAGGCUUUCGGGUCGUAAAGCACUGUUGUAUGGGAAGAACAGCUAGAAUAGGAAAUGAUUUUAGUUUGACGGUACCAUACCAGAAAGGGACGGCUAAAUACGUGCCAGCAGCCGCGGUAAUACGUAUGUCCCGAGCGUUAUCCGGAUUUAUUGGGCGUAAAGCGAGCGCAGACGGUUUAUUAAGUCUGAUGUGAAAGCCCGGAGCUCAACUCCGGAAUGGCAUUGGAAACUGGUUAACUUGAGUGCAGUAGAGGUAAGUGGAACUCCAUGUGUAGCGGUGGAAUGCGUAGAUAUAUGGAAGAACACCAGUGGCGAAGGCGGCUUACUGGACUGCAACUGACGUUGAGGCUCGAAAGUGUGGGUAGCAAAC